RNAcentral lists this ribosomal RNA (379 nucleotides) under uncultured bacterium. Its description in RNAcentral is "bacterial SSU rRNA". It matches the Rfam family "Bacterial small subunit ribosomal RNA", at positions 425 to 793 of the family's 1533-position model. The record is from RNAcentral.
GUAAAGUACUUUCAGCAGUGAGGAAGGUGGGUAUGUUAAUAGCAUAUUCAUUUGACGUUUAGCUGCAGAAGAAGCACCGGCUAACUCCGUGCCAGCAGCCGCGGUAAUACGGAGGGUGCGAGCGUUAAUCGGAAUUACUGGGCGUUAAAGCGCAUGCAGGUGGUUUGUUAAGUCAGAUGUGAAAAGCCCGGGGCUCAACCUCGGAAUUGCAUUUGAAACUGGCAAACUAGAGUACUGUAGGAGGGGGUAGAAUUUCAGGUGUAGCGGUGAAAUGCGUAGAGAUCUGAAGGAAUACCGGUGGCGAAGGCGGCCCCCUGGACAGAUACUGACACUCAGAUGCGAAAGCGUGGGGAGCAAACAGGAUUAGAUACCCUGGUAG